Molecule: ribosomal RNA, 600 nt
Filed under: uncultured bacterium
Lineage: Bacteria
Description: bacterial SSU rRNA
Rfam family: Bacterial small subunit ribosomal RNA
Source: RNAcentral
GGCGUGUAGGCGGCUACGUAAGUGUCGGGUGAAAUCCCGUCGCUCAACGACGGAACUGCUCGGCAUACUGCGUAGCUUGAGGUCGGUAGAGGUGCCUGGAACUCUAGGUGGAGCGGUGAAAUGCGUAGAUAUCUAGAGGAACGCCUGAGGCGAAAGCGGGGCACUGGGCCGAUUCUGACGCUGAGACGCGAAAGCGUGGGGAGCAAACAGGAUUAGAUACCCUGGUAGUCCACGCCGUAAACGAUGCACACUGGAUGCCGGGAACUCUGACGUUUCCGGCGUCGAAGCAAAAGUGCUAAGUGUGCCGCCUGGGGAGUACGGCCGCAAGGCUAAAACUCAAAGGAAUUGACGGGGGCUCACACAAGCGGUGGAGCAUGUGGCUUAAUUCGAAGCAACGCGAAGAACCUUACCCGGGUUUGACAUGCUUGGAUGCCUUACGGGGAUAACUCAUAAGGUUACCUUUCGGGGUGAAACGAGCACAGGUGUUGCACGGCUGUCGUCAGCUCGUGCUGUGAAGUGUCGGGUUAAGUCCCUUAACGAGCGAAACCCCUGUCGCUAGUUGCCAUCGGGUCAUGCCGGGGACUCUAGCGAGACUGCCGG